This 478-nucleotide ribosomal RNA is filed under the name uncultured bacterium. RNAcentral's name for it is "partial 16S ribosomal RNA". It matches the Rfam family "Bacterial small subunit ribosomal RNA", at positions 28 to 523 of the family's 1533-position model. The record is from RNAcentral.
GACGAACGCUGGCGGCGUGCUUAACACAUGCAAGUCGAACGGUAAGGCCCUUCGGGGUACACGAGUGGCGAACGGGUGAGUAACACGUGGGUGAUCUGCCCUGCACUUCGGGAUAAGCCUGGGAAACUGGGUCUAAUACCGGAUAGGACCACUGCCUGCAUGGGUGGUGGUGGAAAGCUUUUGCGGUGUGGGAUGGGCCCGCGGCCUAUCAGGUUGUUGGUGGGGGGAUGGCCUACCAAGGCGACGACGGGUAGCCGGCCUGGGAGGGUGACCGGCCACACUGGGACGGAGAUACGGACCAGACGCCGACGGGAGGCAGCGGUGGGGAAUAUUGCACAAUGGGCGCAAGCCUGAUGCAGCGACGCCGCGUGAGGGAUGACGGCCUUCGGGUUGUAAACCUCUUUCAGCACCGACGAAGCGCAAGUGACGGUAGGUGCAGAAGAAGGACCGGCCAACUACGUGCCAGCAGCCGCGGUAA